RNAcentral lists this long non-coding RNA (758 nucleotides) under Equus asinus (donkey). RNAcentral's name for it is "lncRNA (ENSEASG00005026379.1)". Lineage: Eukaryota; Metazoa; Chordata; Mammalia; Perissodactyla; Equidae. The record is from RNAcentral.
CUGGAAUGUAUUCCUGAAACGGUCAAUAUGUUCUCUCUGCAGUUUUUUCUGGUCUUGUUUUCCUUUAGUAAUUUUGGCUGGAAUUGUAGGAUUUCAUAGUACUCCUCAUCUGAUAUAUUUUACAGAGAUUUAAUAAUAGAGGAAUCCAAGUUGGGGAAGAUGAGCUGAAGAGAUGUCAAGACAGUUCUUAGCCUGUAUUAAAGGAUCAGCAAAGAAAUCAUCAUUGAAUGGUCUCAGAGGUGCCGAAGAGUAUUGCUCCUGAAAUCUCCUCCAUCCAUGGCUGAAAUUUAAAGGCUUGGGGUGAUUGAGAGAACAACCUGCGCACAUCAUUCCAGUCUUCCCAGCUCACAGCAUUUGGCUGCUCCAUGACGUUGAUUGCCCACAAGUUCCCAGGACAUUUGUAAGCUGGUGGAUUAUAAGUCACUUAUCAUUGCAAAGAAAUAUAACUCGCAUUUCUCUGUUUCGUUAAUGCUGUGGUCACCGAUGUCAGUUUCUUCACGGGGGCAACUGGCGGGACCCAAAGCUGCUGGGAGAACUCUCUGCAUGGAGUUUCUAAGCAACACACUUUGCGUGUGGUCAGAGUUAAAGUUUAUUAUAGUCCAGGGUGUUCUGGCUGCUGUAGAAAGAUUUUUGUGUGUGUGGUUUGGUUUGUUUUUUUGAAUUUUCCACCGUGCCUAUUAGUAAUUUAUAAUCAAAUGCAAAAAAAUUGUCUACCACAAGGAAAGUUACAGGUUUGAAAGCAAACAAAGACAUGAGCA